RNA transcript from Phlebotomus papatasi, 5717 nucleotides. It is a transcript of the gene named adenylate cyclase type 9, with no coding region annotated. The record is from RefSeq and is a predicted model, not a curated record. The transcript is spliced from 8 exons. Lineage: Eukaryota; Metazoa; Arthropoda; Insecta; Diptera; Psychodidae.
ACAGUUCGCUAAGCAUUCUCCUGCAGAAUGCUUUAGUAUAGUUUUGCUGUGAUAAGAGAAAACAUUGUGGUAGUCUUGUGGACACUAUUUUAAAACAUGGAAUUAUAAGUAAUUAAGAUAAAGUGAUAGAGUCGUGCAAAUAAAAAAAGAAAAUAGCCAGAAUUCUCACGAGGAAGUCCAGAAGUGAAUAAGAAAAAAAAAGUUGUGAACAAGACAAGCACGGAAUUUGUUUUUUUUUGGGGGAGAAGGGGAGCAGAAAAUAUGGAGUAGAAGUUGGCACAAUCGCUCAGUGAUCCUCAAUCUCGCGCCCAUUCACAAUGCCAUCGCCGGGCGUCUUGGGCGACAGCCAGCACAAUUCGGCAGAGGAGAUCCAGAUCGGCCUGGCGCCCUACAUCCAACACUAUCUGUCACAGACCGGCCGGAGACACUCCUGUUGCAGUGUCAUGUUGCCCGUGGCAUUCGAAAGGGCAGCUCCCAAGGCCUGGUGGGAUCCCAAGUUCGAUUCAGCCAUCCUCGAGGGUCAAUACCAGUCCAGUGUCUUUCCUCAGCUGCGUCUCAGAUUUCGAUUUGCCCUCCUCUACAUCCUCCUGUGUUCAGUGGUCUGGAUGAUUUACUUUCUCACUGUGGCGAAGCUAAACUCAUUGGUUUCGAUUGCUUUUGGAUUGUGCAUAGUCUUCUGUUUGAUAACCGUUUGGCUCACAUAUUCUAAAUUUUAUGAGAACAGAACGCACCUGGUGACUUUUUGUGUAGCUUCCAGCAUUUGCUUGCUAUCCUUGCUCUUUGUCAGUUUAUCUGGGAGGAGUUUCUCUGCACUUGGACACUUUGCCACAUGCAUCGAAGUCAUCCUGUUGAUUUAUACCCUGAUGCCUCUUCCACUGUGGCAAUGCGUUUCCAUCUCUGUUCUCUACUCGAUUCUCUUCGAGACGCUUCACUUCAUCUUCCAGAGUUUCUAUUACAGUGGGUCCCAGGAGGAUUCAUCGACUCCUUAUAGAGUGUUAGUGGUGAGAUGUCUCCUGCAUCUCUGUGUCCAUAUGGUAGGACUUCAUGUGUUAGUGAUGAAUGUUGUGAGAAUGAGGUGCACAUUCAUGAAGGUUGGACAGAAUCUCCUGAUCCGAAGGCAAUUGGAGAUGGAGAAGCAACUGAAGGAAAAGAUGAUCCAUUCAGUGAUGCCUCCAAAAGUCGCUGAUAUGCUAAUGAAGGAGGGAUCUACAAUGGAAACUGGUUCUGACCACAAACGCUCCUGCUCAAUCCAUCCUAGGCUCUCCAAUGAUGUCAAGUCUCUGUUUAGACCCUUUCACAUGCACUCCAUGGACAAUGUCAGCAUCCUGUUUGCUGACAUCGUGGGCUUCACCAAAAUGUCUACCACCAAGACUGCUGAGCAGCUGGUGGAGAUACUCAAUGAUCUCUUUGAGCGUUUCGACGAAUUGUGUACGCUAAACGGCUGCGAGAAGAUCUCAACCCUUGGAGAUUGCUACUAUUGCGUAUCCGGAUGUCCGGAACCCAGGGCAGAUCAUGCAAUGUGCUGCGUAGAGAUGGGCUUGGGCAUGAUUCAGGCAGUGAGGAUCUUCGAUGCACAGAAAAAUGAAGGAGUCAAGAUGAGAGUAGGAGUUCACACGGGAUCAGUUCUCUGUGGUAUCGUAGGGACAAGGAGAGUCAAGUUCGACGUCUGGAGCAACGAUGUUACCUUAGCCAAUCGGAUGGAGUCGACUGGAACGCCGGAGCAAGUGCAUAUAUCCGAGGAGACGCGCAAAUUCCUGGGCGAUGGGUACAUAUUCAAGGAGGGUGAUGAGGUAUUUGGUCAUCGAACGUACUUCGUGGUGGGCAAGAAGUGCAAUUCAAUGGAUGCCAGCAGGAGUGAGGUGGAUGUCUCCAAAGCGGGUGCAUGUUUGCUGAUCCCUCAGUUUGAUGGUUUCACGAAUGGUGUUCAACUAUCGCGUAGUGUCACCAAUUUAUCCUCAAUUCAGCCUACAGUUCCACCAGCUUCUCCAAUCGGUGUCACAUCAACUUCCCUCACUCCAAGUCCCAUCCUGUCAACGAGACCUAGGCUGGCAUCUCUAAGCCGGGUCACCAAGUAUCUAACUGGGAGCAAUCAUGCUGCCAUUGAGGUGUCAAAUAGACUAGGAAGUCAGCCUGCAGCUCCAACAAUCAUCGUGACGACCAAAUCUCUGCCUGGAAGCUUGGAUUCUGACACAGAGGACACCUGCUGCCGGGGAGGAUCCCACCGCAAGACUGACGAGGAAAAACAAGCCAUGCGGAAGUACUCAGCUAAGCUGCGAGGCUGGCGAGUACCUCGCUUCCUCCGGAAGACUGAUGAUAUCCAGCCCGAGGGACGCACGAAAGAUGACUGUGAUAGUGCCAGAAAGGCCGAACCGUUGCUCUGUACGGAUCAGAAUGGAUACCAGCAGGUUCCAGUGGUUGUAGAGACUCCAGCUCCUCCAACACACACCCUCGAGAUUCCCCGAGCUGCUGGUUCCAAUUGCUCACCCAGUCAGGGCUCCAUGUUCGAUGAUAUAAUUGACGUGAGGUCCUACAUCUCCCAUUCCCGCAGCGACAUCUCCCCCUUUGGCCGCUCCGGUAGCUACAGAUCCCAGUGUGGGAGAUCUCCUCAGGGGGCUGGAGGAGAACUCACUCCUGGUGCCUGUGGAAGAUCACGAAGCUCAACAAUGGCCCCUAUUGCUGUGAGUUUGCAGCAGAGGAACUGCUCAAGUCCCUGGAUUGAAGUACUGAGUAUGUGCCCUUCGGCUCAUAGUCGGAAGGAUUCUGGGAUUAGGAGCAAUUCCCGACGAUCUAGCGUCCACAACGCUAACGGAGUUCCAUCUCUGGGUGCUUCGGCUCAGAGAGUUUCUGGCUAUUUUACCAGUUCCCAAUCGAGUUUAGCUGGUACACCAAAUCACGUCAACGAGGCUCCCUACGUAGAUCCCCUGGCGGCUUGUUUGCAUCAACUCCGGAAGCAAUCGGAUCUGCAAUUGAUCCGUUGUGUCAAGGAGAAUGCAAAGUCUCAGCGGAGUUACCUGGUAAAGCCACCAGUAUCGAAUAUUACGCUCUUUUUCAAGUCCUGGCAGAUGGAACGAGAAUUCCGGAGCAAAGCCCAUCGAUUUGGGCAGGAAAAUAUGGGAGAAGGUCCACCAACUCUGGCUACUCCUCGCUACAAUACCUACAUCGAUUUAUUGGUGAGUGUGUUCAUCUUCCUGACUGUCUCACUGUCGCUCUUCCUCCUAGUGCCCAUCACAAUGAGUGUUGGGUAUCAGAUUUGGGUGGCUUUGUUUGCCAUAUUCAGUGCCAUUCAGUUUCUGGCAGUUUUUGUAUGCUCUAAGCAAAUGAUCCGGCUAUCGCAUGGACAAACUAAAUCUGACACUUGCACUGAUCGGAUUUUUAAUGCCGUGUCCAAUUGGUAUCCAUGGCAUCUCUGUGGUUCAAUUUUGAUGUCUCUGCCCGUGAUCUCGAUCUUCCUAAACCUCACCACGCUGGACAUGGACACAUUGACCCCUUAUGAAUUCCACUAUGGGCUGUUGCUCUUCAUCUGUGUCAUCCACUACUGCAACUUCACACAACUCAAUUGCUGGCUUCGGAACUUGCUGGCUCUCCUGGCGGCAGUGGCUUUCAUCGGGAUUACUUGCUACCAAUGGAAUUCCUUCGUGACGCUUCAAGGAAAGGGUUUGGAAGCUAGAGAAGCCUUCAUCAUCCCGCCUCAUUCGCUCAACUUCACCAAUCCAAAAGGCAGCAAUCUCGCUGAAUUCCUCAAUGAUGAAAUUCGCUUCUUGAAAUUCUACCAGAUUGAGAUUUACAUCGAUCUCAUCCUUCUCCUCUUUCUGGUUUGCUUCCUCAAUCGCGAGUACGAAAUUGGCUAUCGAUUGACGUUCUAUGGCAGUGCUGUUGCCAAUCAGGACAAAAUCCGGGUGCAGCAUAUGAAAAAUCAGGCUGAUAUGCUCCUGCACAACAUUAUCCCUAAGCAUGUGGCUGAACAACUGAAGAAUACAGCCAAGUACUCAGAAAACUAUCACGAUGUCGGAAUAAUCUUUGCCAGCAUCAUCAACUUCAACGAGAUGUACGAUGAAUCAUACCUGGGCGGGAAGGAAUACUUGAGAGUACUCAACGAGCUAAUAGGGGACUUUGACGAAUUGCUUUCUCGACCAGAAUUCCAGUGUGUUGAGAAGAUUAAGUCCAUCGGAAGCACUUUUAUGGCAGCCAGCGGAUUAGAUCCGUCAACUCGCGGAGAGGGCUAUCAGCAUCUCCAGGCCCUCAUUGAAUUCUCCUGUGCCAUGCAAAACGUCGUGGAUGCCUUCAACAAGGAUCUCCUGGAGUUCAAUCUGAUCUUGCGAAUUGGCUACAAUAUUGGAGAUGUUACAGCUGGUGUUAUUGGCACCAGUAAGCUGUACUACGACAUCUGGGGAGAUGCUGUAAAUGUAGCCAGUCGAAUGGACUCCACAGGAGUCGCUGGGAGAAUUCAAGUGGGCAAAGAAUGCCUCCCAUACCUCGAGAGUGUCUACGACUUUGAACCCCGGGGAAGUGUCUAUGUGAAGGGGAAGGACAAUAUGGAAGUGUAUCUACUCAAAGGGAAGAAAACCUUUCCACAGGGAAAGUCCUGAACACACUGAAAGAACUGACUCAAUUCCCAGAAGUCAGUUGGAAAUUGCAGCUUCAGAAAUGACAACACUGCUUCAGAGUUUUUAGAAUGGUAAAGCAUCACAACCAUAAAUCUCUUCGUGGAGCUUUUCCGUUUUUCUUUGGGAGCUUUUAGCCUAAAAAAACAAAAGAAACAUUCUUCUGAGAGAUCGCAACAGAAUCCUUUACUAAGCGUGAUGUUUGAUAAGAGAAAAAAAUGUUGUCAAUUUAUUUUAAUGUUCUUUAGUAUUAAUGGUUUCCAAAAUUGUGAGAUUUAUGCGAUAUUGUAAUAAUUGUAUAUUUUAUUUUGUACAUAACAAAGCAUUUUGUAAGCAAGGCGCCAUAAAAAAAACAGCCAAUAUUGUGUAGAAUUUGUGAAAGAAAGUAAAAAAAAACAAGUAAUAAAAUUCCCUAUAAAUUGUUAGAUUGACAAUGAAAUGUCCCCUUGAAAGAAAUACCCAUAAAUCCUCUACUAUACUUUUAUUCCAUUCAACCCAGAAAGCUUUAAUGAAGCUUUAAUGUGAGUCUCCAGUGACUUAGAAUUUUCUCUAGGGAAUCCAUACAAUUUUUUUCCUUUCAUAGAUACUAAACUCAUUAAAAUGUAACUAGGACACAUACUUUCCCAAUAGUUUUGAAUUCACCUAAAAUUAAACAACAUUUACAAGUUAAUGCUCAAAAUUUUACAUCAAAAUUUGCAGCACAAAGAAUUUUGGUCUCCACAGAGAUUUGCACAAUAAUUAAGGUUCUUAAUAUUGUUCUCCUAUCUCUGAUACUAACACUAAUCCAAUGACUUUUUAAAGUUUAUGAAAAUCAAUUGAACUUGUGAUUACUUUUGAAACAGAAAAAAAAUAUAAAUUCCAACAGAUAAUUGUAAACGUUUCAUAUUAUAUAAAACUUUACCUAACAAUCAAUGUAAAAGUUUUAUUUUUUCAAUCUGCAAGUCAAACAAUAUUGAAUUUCAACCAGAUACUUUCAUCACAGAGACAAACACAAAACUUUUUCAAUUUGACUGUACUGAGAUAAUGAAACUAAACUAUUUUUUAUUGACUUAAAGUAUAGUAGAAUUUGUAUCAAAGUGUAGAAAAAUUAACUAUUAAAUAUUUUAUGUAUUUGUU